Paramuricea clavata is the source of this 105-nucleotide non-coding RNA. Lineage: Eukaryota; Metazoa; Cnidaria; Anthozoa; Malacalcyonacea; Plexauridae. The record is from the annotation of a GenBank genome assembly.
ACAAACUUGUUUCGUAUGACAAGCAAUGCUUGCCACACUCAUCAGAUUUUAAAUUCACCUGAUGAGUGUGGCAAACAUUGCUUGUCAUACGAAACAAGUUUGUAG